UACGUAGGUGACCAGCGUUGUCCGGAUUUACUGGGCGUAAAGAGCGCGCAGGCGGUCGUUCAAGUCGAGUGUGAAAGCCCCCGGCUCAACUGGGGAGGGUCAUUCGAUACUGAUCGACUCGAAGGCAGGAGAGGGAAGCGGAAUUCCCGGUGUAGUGGCGAAAUGCGUAGAUAUCGGGAGGAACACCAGUGGCGAAGGCGGCUUCCUGGCCUGUUCUUGACGCUGAGGCGCGAAAGCUAGGGGAGCAAACGGG
Molecule: ribosomal RNA, 253 nt
Filed under: uncultured bacterium
Lineage: Bacteria
Description: partial 16S ribosomal RNA
Rfam family: Bacterial small subunit ribosomal RNA
Source: RNAcentral